Molecule: ribosomal RNA, 184 nt
Filed under: uncultured bacterium
Lineage: Bacteria
Description: partial 16S ribosomal RNA
Rfam family: Bacterial small subunit ribosomal RNA
Source: RNAcentral
AGAGUUUGAUCAUGGCUCAGGACGAACGCUGGCGGCGUGCCUAAUACAUGCAAGUCGAGCGAGCGGAACUAACAGAUUUACUUCGGUAAUGACGUUAGGAAAGCGAGCGGCGGAUGGGUGAGUAACACGUGGGGAACCUGCCCCAUAGUCUGGGAUACCACCUGGAAACAGAUGCUAAUACCGG